RNAcentral lists this long non-coding RNA (235 nucleotides) under Carica papaya (papaya). RNAcentral's name for it is "long non-coding RNA (CPAP_LNC009122)". Lineage: Eukaryota; Viridiplantae; Streptophyta; Magnoliopsida; Brassicales; Caricaceae. The record is from RNAcentral.
UUAGCCUAAACGAAAAAUUAUUGAGUAGUCCUCCUUGCUCCACAUCCACUUAAAUGAACAGCUUGAAUUCAAAGAGGAGAUAAGUAUUUAAACUCCUUUUCGCAGGGAACCAAACCCUAGCCGACAGAGGGGUGACCAGAGAAGAAGAACCCCAGCCGGAAAGGAAGACCGGUGAAGUUGUCGUACCCGUUGAUCCCCUUCACCAGUAGGUUUCGAUUUUUUAACUUUUCCGACU